UACGUAGGGGGGCGAGCGUUGUCCGGAAUCAUUGGGCGUAAAGCGCGUGUAGGCGGCCCGGUAAGUCCGCUGUGAAAGUCCAGGGCUCAACCCUGGGAUGCCGGUGGAUACUGUCGGGCUCGAGUCCGGAAGAGGCGAGUGGAAUUCCUGGUGUAGCGGUGAAAUGCGUAGAGAUCAGCAGGAAUACCCGUGGCGAAGGCGGCCCCCUGGGCCCGAACCGUGACGCCUGAGGAGCGAAAGCGUGGGAGCGAACGAG
RNAcentral lists this ribosomal RNA (256 nucleotides) under uncultured bacterium. RNAcentral's name for it is "partial 16S ribosomal RNA". It matches the Rfam family "Bacterial small subunit ribosomal RNA", at positions 524 to 776 of the family's 1533-position model. The record is from RNAcentral.